Molecule: transfer RNA, 66 nt
Filed under: Notocochlis gualtieriana
Lineage: Eukaryota; Metazoa; Mollusca; Gastropoda; Littorinimorpha; Naticidae
Description: tRNA-Gly
Source: RNAcentral
AUCUCUUGAGUAUGACGAGUAUAUCUGUCUUCCAAACAGAAGGAUUAAAUAAAUUUAAAAGAGAUA